RNAcentral lists this unclassified non-coding RNA (135 nucleotides) under uncultured Ascomycota. RNAcentral describes it as "sequence contains ITS1". Lineage: Eukaryota; Fungi; Ascomycota. The record is from RNAcentral.
CAGAGUUGCAAAACUCCCAACCCUUUGUGAACGAUCUUGUUAGUUGCCUCGGCGGGAAGCCCCUCAGGGGAGCCGACCGCCGGUGGACUGCAAACUCUUUUAAUUUACCAUUCUGAUUACUUAUUCAAUAAGUUA